AGUCAGUACGGGAGUCCGGCGGGUUACAGCGGAGGCCUAGGUGGCAGACAGGGGGCCCGGGCCGCUGCGUGUUGUCCACCCAAGAUGGAGUUCCUCCUGGGGAACCCGUUCAGCACACCAGUGGGGCAGUGCCUCGAAAAGGCAACAGAUGGCUCCCUGCAAAGUGAGGAUUGGACGUUGAAUAUGGAGAUCUGUGACAUCAUCAAUGAGACGGAGGAAGGGCCAAAGGAUGCCAUUCGAGCCCUGAAGAAGCGGCUCAACGGGAACCGGAACUACAGAGAGGUGAUGCUGGCAUUAACAGCAUGGGCUGAUGCCUUUCGAAGCAGUCCUGAUCUCACCGGCGUUGUGCACAUAUAUGAGGAGCUGAAGAGGAAAGGGGUUGAAUUUCCCGUGGCAGACUUGGACGCUCUGUCUCCCAUACACACACCACAGCGGAGUGUCCCUGAAGUGGAUCCAGCCGCGACCAUGCCCAGGUCCCAAUCACAGCAGAGGACAAGUGCUGGUUCCUAUUCCUCGCCGCCUCCUGCUCCCUACUCCGCACCGCAGGCCCCAGCUCUGAGUGUGACUGGCCCCAUCACAGCCAAUUCAGAACAGAUUGCCAGGCUGCGGAGUGAACUGGACGUCGUUCGAGGAAACACAAAAGUCAUGUCUGAGAUGUUAACAGAAAUGGUCCCUGGACAGGAGGAUUCAUCUGAUCUGGAGUUGCUGCAGGAGCUCAACAGGACCUGUCGGGCCAUGCAGCAGCGCAUCGUGGAGCUCAUCUCCCGCGUGUCCAACGAGGAGGUCACCGAGGAGCUGCUGCAUGUGAACGAUGACCUCAACAACGUCUUCCUUCGAUACGAGAGGUGGGAGCCGGAUUUCUUUUUUUUUUUUUUUUCCCUUGAAAAGAUUGUUGCCAUAACAGAGGGACUUCUUUCAUAAACAAAGGAAAGAGAGGGAGAGGGAGAGAGAUUAGAGUUGGAAAAUACUCAUCAGAGAUGCUAAUUUGUUCCCGGCUGACAGGAAAAAUGCUUCUUGUCCUCCUGGGAACUGAGCAGCAGAAGCAGCAGGAAGUUGACGUGCAGAAUUAGGCUCUGCCCUUUGUAAGCCUCAGGCUGCUCUGCCUUUCCCCACUGCCCCGCCACCCCCAGCCCCAGGGAGGGGUAGCACUUGGGGGCCUCUGGGCCCCAGAGCUUCUGCACCUGCUCCUUUGAUGAUCCUUUGAAUUUGAAAAGGAUUAAA
Molecule: small RNA, 1221 nt
Filed under: Pan troglodytes (chimpanzee)
Lineage: Eukaryota; Metazoa; Chordata; Mammalia; Primates; Hominidae
Description: retained intron
Source: RNAcentral